RNAcentral lists this ribosomal RNA (364 nucleotides) under uncultured Glomeromycotina. Its description in RNAcentral is "SSU rRNA". It matches the Rfam family "Eukaryotic small subunit ribosomal RNA", at positions 688 to 1056 of the family's 1831-position model. The record is from RNAcentral. Lineage: Eukaryota; Fungi; Glomeromycota.
ACUGGUUCCUACCUUCUGACGAACCAUCAUGUCAUUCAUUUGGUGUGGCGGGGAAUCAGGACUGUUACUUUGAAAAAAUUAGAGUGUUUAAAGCAGGCUCGCGCUUGAAUACAUUAGCAUGGAAUAAUGAAAUAGGACGUUGAUCCUAUUUUGUUGGUUUCUAGGAUUGACGUAAUGAUUAAUAGGGAUAGUUGGGGGCAUUAGUAUUCAAUUGUCAGAGGUGAAAUUCUUGGAUUUAUUGAAGACUGACUACUGCGAAAGCAUUUGCCAAGGAUGUUUUCAUUAAUCAAGAACGAAAGUUAGGGGAUCAAAAACGAUCAGAUACCGUCGUAGUCUUACCAUAAACUAGCCGAGGGGGACGGAG